GACGUAGGUGGCGACCGUUAUCCGGAAUCAUUGGGCGUAAAGGGUGCGUAGAUGGCCUGAUAAGUUAGCAGUGGGAAAUCGAGGCUCAACCUCGUGGAAGCUGGUAAUACUGUUAGGCUCGAGUGCAGGAGAAGUUAACGGAACUCCAUGUGGAGCGGUAAAAUGUGUAGAUAUAUGGAAGAACAUCAAUAACGGCGAAGGCAGUUAACUAGUCUGUUACUGACGUUGAGGCACGAAAGCGUGGGGAGCAAAACGG
This 256-nucleotide ribosomal RNA is filed under the name uncultured bacterium. RNAcentral's name for it is "partial 16S ribosomal RNA". It matches the Rfam family "Bacterial small subunit ribosomal RNA", at positions 524 to 776 of the family's 1533-position model. The record is from RNAcentral.